RNAcentral lists this ribosomal RNA (402 nucleotides) under uncultured bacterium. RNAcentral describes it as "bacterial SSU rRNA". It matches the Rfam family "Bacterial small subunit ribosomal RNA", at positions 356 to 773 of the family's 1533-position model. The record is from RNAcentral.
GGGGAAUAUUGCACAAUGGGCGAAAGCCUGAUGCAGCAACGCCGCGUGAGCGAUGAAGGCCUUUGGGUCGUAAAGCUCUGUCCUUGGGGAAGAAAAAAAUGACGGUACCCAAGGAGGAAGCCCCGGCUAACUACGUGCCAGCAGCCGCGGUAAUACGUAGGGGGCAAGCGUUAUCCGGAAUUAUUGGGCGUAAAGAGUACGUAGGUGGUCUUUUAAGCGCAGGGUUUAAGGCAAUGGCUUAACCAUUGUUCGCCCUGUGAACUGGAAGACUUGAGUGUAGGAGAGGAAAGUGGAAUUCCUAGUGUAGCGGUGAAAUGCGUAGAUAUUAGGAGGAACAGCAGUGGCGAAGGCGACUUUCUGGACUAUUACUGACACUGAGGUACGAAAGCGUGGGGAGCAAAC